CGGGGUGGAGUAAUGUCUGGGAAACUGCCUGAUGAGGGGGGAUAACUACUGGAAACGGUAGCUAAUACCGCAUAAUGUCGCAAGACCAAAUGGGGGACCUUCGGGCCUCUUGCCAUCGGAUGUGCCCAGAUGGGAUUAGCUAGUAGGUGGGGUAACGGCUCACCUAGGCGACGAUCCCUAGCUGGUCUGAGAGGAUGACCAGCCACACUGGAACUGAGACACGGUCCAG
Molecule: ribosomal RNA, 229 nt
Filed under: uncultured bacterium
Lineage: Bacteria
Description: partial 16S ribosomal RNA
Rfam family: Bacterial small subunit ribosomal RNA
Source: RNAcentral